Molecule: ribosomal RNA, 454 nt
Filed under: uncultured bacterium
Lineage: Bacteria
Description: bacterial SSU rRNA
Rfam family: Bacterial small subunit ribosomal RNA
Source: RNAcentral
UACGGAAGGCAGCAGUGGGGAAUAUUGCACAAUGGGCGAAAGCCUGAUGCAGCUAUGCCGCGUGUAUGAAGAAGGCCUUAGGGUUGUAAAGUACUUUCAGCGGGGAGGAAGGCGAUGCGGUUAAUAACCGCGUCGAUUGACGUUACCCGCAGAAGAAGCACCGGCUAACUCCGUGCCAGCAGCCGCGGUAAUACGGAGGGUGCAAGCGUUAAUCGGAAUUACUGGGCGUAAAGCGCACGCAGGCGGUCUGUUAAGUCAGAUGUGAAAUCCCCGGGCUUAACCUGGGAACUGCAUUUUGAAACUGGCAGGCUUGAGUCUUGUAGAGGGGGUAGAAUUCCAGGUGUAGCGGUGAAAUGCGUAGAGAUCUGGAGGAAUACCGGUGGCGAAGGCGGCCCCUGGGACAAGACUGACGCUCAGGGUGCGAAAGCGUGGGGAGCAAACAGGAUUAGAUACC